CUACGGGCUGCUGCAGUGGGGAAUAUUGCACAAUGGGCGCAAGCCUGAUGCAGCCAUGCCGCGUAUAUGAAGAAGGCCUUCGGGUUGUAAAGUACUUUCAGCGGGGAGGAAGGGAGUAAAGUUAAUACCUUUGCUCAUUGACGUUACCCGCAGAAGAAGCACCGGCUAACUCCGUGCCAGCAGCCGCGGUAAUACGGAGGGUGCAAGCGUUAAUCGGAAUUACUGGGCGUAAAGCGCACGCAGGCGGUUUGUUAAGUCAGAUGUGAAAUCCCCGGGCUCAACCUGGGAACUGCAUCUGAUACUGGCAAGCUUGAGUCUCGUAGAGGGGGGUAGAAUUCCAGGUGUAGCGGUGAAAUGCGUAGAGAUCUGGAGGAAUACCGGUGGCGAAGGCGGCCCCCUGGACGAAGACUGACGCUCAGGUGCGAAAGCGUGGGGAGCAAACAGGAUUAGAUACCCUUGUAGUC
RNAcentral lists this ribosomal RNA (464 nucleotides) under uncultured bacterium. Its description in RNAcentral is "partial 16S ribosomal RNA". It matches the Rfam family "Bacterial small subunit ribosomal RNA", at positions 339 to 795 of the family's 1533-position model. The record is from RNAcentral.